ACGUCUAUCAGUCUCGGGGACCUUGAGGAGUACCAUCUUCUUCUGUAUAGUUCCUGACACCUUAGACCUCAACUGUGUUGCAGAUCUGGAUGACAAAUCCUGAUUUUGAGAUUCAGUUUUCCUCGGAUCAGACAGAUUUGUGGGAUCGCAGCCCUUUCCUGCCUCGAUUGCCCUUGCCUGUUUCUGGUCCUUGGGGUGGGACCUUUCUCGGCCUCGAUCCCUCCUUUAAUCCAUGAUGAGAUUAUCUGCUCACAGCAUUGCCUCACAGUCUCCUGCGGAUUUGCAUAAACAGAUGCUUACAAACAUCUCCCUGAGCGCGUGUCAACAGGAAGUUGUAGUUGCCACUGAUGUGACUACUCGAGGUCGUCGUGCUCUGCAGCCAAUGGCAAACAUCUGAAGAAGCCGCAGUGGAAAGUUCCAACGUUCUCCCCCAAGACACCAAGGCUACAGGCUGAAUACACACAUAAUACAGAAUUGUUCUUCCAUGAAUUGCAAACUCUAACCUUGGAUCACCUCUUACCAUGGAUUUGUUGAGCUGUGGGUGAGGAGUGAUGAUGUAGUCGAGGAGACAUGAGCGGGCAAGGAUGGACACCAACGGACGCUCGCUGAAGGCUGCGCAGGGAUGGUAGAGCAAUAUGGCAGCUCCUUGCUGCAUAACAGCUGGAUUAAAAGUGGGUCGAUUGGUCAUGCCUGCAAAGUGGUAUGCAGGUGAGAAAGAUGUCAAGCAUGCAAAGGUACAGAGUGAAGAGCUGCUGUAUCCAUGGUUACCUGAGUGGAGUUUAACCAAGCAGCGGGAGCAGGACAGCUCCAGUAGAUGGCAUCUGCAGGUAGAUCCCUUUCCACAAGCAACUAUGCAAACAUCAAAUAUGAGACGGUGCAACAAGCAUCAUCUUUGGGAAAUAUAAUAACAAAACAAAUCUUAACCUUUCCA
Syngnathus typhle (broad-nosed pipefish) is the source of this 931-nucleotide long non-coding RNA. RefSeq lists it as uncharacterized. Lineage: Eukaryota; Metazoa; Chordata; Actinopteri; Syngnathiformes; Syngnathidae. The transcript is spliced from 4 exons. The record is from RefSeq and is a predicted model, not a curated record.